This 255-nucleotide ribosomal RNA is filed under the name uncultured Pseudomonas sp. RNAcentral describes it as "partial 16S ribosomal RNA". It matches the Rfam family "Bacterial small subunit ribosomal RNA", at positions 99 to 356 of the family's 1533-position model. Lineage: Bacteria; Pseudomonadati; Pseudomonadota; Gammaproteobacteria; Pseudomonadales; Pseudomonadaceae. The record is from RNAcentral.
CGGACGGGUGAGUAAUGCCUAGGAAUCUGCCUGGUAGUGGGGGACAACGUUUCGAAAGGAACGCUAAUACCGCAUACGUCCUACGGGAGAAAGCAGGGGACCUUCGGGCCUUGCGCUAUCAGAUGAGCCUAGGUCGGAUUAGCUAGUUGGUGAGGUAAUGGCUCACCAAGGCGACGAUCCGUAACUGGUCUGAGAGGAUGAUCAGUCACACUGGAACUGAGGCACGGUCCAGACUCCUACGGGAGGCAGCAGCGC